Molecule: unclassified non-coding RNA, 350 nt
Filed under: Planchonella polyneura
Lineage: Eukaryota; Viridiplantae; Streptophyta; Magnoliopsida; Ericales; Sapotaceae
Description: partial contains external transcribed spacer and 18S ribosomal RNA
Source: RNAcentral
UCCUAUGUUUGAUGCCUAACGUGACGGAAAUUGGCCCCGAAUGAGUCCUAAGUUUUGCCUCACCAAAUUCGUGGUGUUAGGUUGACGUGGAAGUACUGCCCAUUGUCCGUCCUUUUAUGUUGUAAUCGUGUCCCAUGGGUUGCUACUAGUUCCCUCGGAUGCAGAACCUUUGAGGGGUGCACAGUAUGUUGCUGUUGUUUACCCCCCCAAGGCAUUCAUCGAUCGAUGCGUACGACAGUUGUGCCCCGUUUUGGUCCCCUUUACAAAUUGUUUGGAUGGGUCUCAUGCGGUGCCGGCGUCGCGAAGGAAUGCUACCUGGUUGAUCCUGCCAGUAGUCAUAUGCUUGUCUC